GGAACAUUUAAAACUUCUAAGACCUGAAACAACAGAGAUUGCUAGGAAGAGCCCAUCCAAAUGUACUACCUCCGAAAGCACAGCCUCACUGCUACCGCCCUCCUCCCAGCCCCACUACAGGCACGGAAGUCCGGCCAAUCUACAGCAGCCCCGGUGCCCCCACAGCCUGCUGGGGGGAGCCCAUUCCCACACACACCUGCCCGCUCUGUCCCGUCAGGACCGGCCGGGUCCCCGCUACGUGCCUCGGGCACAGCCCCGUCCCGCCCGCUCGGGACAGGCCACCACGACGCGCAGCACCGGCCGAAGCCGGGGGCAAGGCGGUGGGGCGGGCGACCCGGGGACCACCACCGCCACCAUGGCUGUUGUUAUUUGUUUCCGGUAGCACCACAGCGUGUCGGGGAGCAGGAACAACGCGGCACCGCCCGCCCCCCGCCGCCCCGCUCCCGGCAGCGCCCCCGCCCCACCCCACCGCCGGGCCGCCCCGCCGCACUCACUCGCCAGCCGCGGGCCAUCCAGCCCCCCGCCGCCGCCGCCGCCUCCCGCCCCCAGCUCGGCUUUCUUAGGCCCCACCGCCGCCGCCGCCGGGCCCGAGUUGGCCCCGUGCGGCGGGUACCCAGACCCGGCGGCGGCGGCGGCCGAGGGGAUGCCGAGCGGGAGCCCGCCGAGGGGGGCGGUGGGCCCGGGGGCGGCGCCCGGCUCCUCAUGCAGGAACUGGCACUCCUCGCCGUAGAAGCAGGCACCCAGCAGCACGCUUGUCUUUUCCCUGCCGGCUGGGAUUACGGGAAGGCAGCCUGUGGGAUUCGCUCUCUCCUGAAGUCGAAUCGGGGGGCGGGCGGUUUUUAGUGGGACUUUUGAAGUGUUUUCCUCUGAGAGUGGAGAAUUAUGUGAUGUGAAUUUUCAGUGACUCCCUUGCAAAGCUACUCAAGAUGUUUCAUUAAUUUUUCCUCAGUCGAAUUGUUGGCAUAGCUCGUGCAGCUGAAGUGAUGUAUAUGUAGACAAAAAAGCAGCAUAUGUUAAAGUACACUUGACAUUAUUUUGGUAAGAAAAACAUUUGCUGUAGAAUUAAGAUUACUUUUUUGUCUGUCAUAGUCUUCUCUCUUAGUAAAAGUGAAAAGAAAAUCAGGGCCUGCUUCCAGGAUGCUUUGACAGUUUGUACAAAAAUAAAUUGAAAAAAGAGUGAGCUUUUAAAUGUCACAUUGGAACAAAUCGAAGUCUUUCUUCCUCAAAUAAAGUCUUUAAAGACUUCAAGAAGUAAGUGGGCCUUAAGCUGAAAUCUUAAGAUCACUAUUUGUGCAGCCAGAAU
Molecule: long non-coding RNA, 1303 nt
Filed under: Melopsittacus undulatus (budgerigar)
Lineage: Eukaryota; Metazoa; Chordata; Aves; Psittaciformes; Psittaculidae
Description: lncRNA (ENSMUNG00000018070.1)
Source: RNAcentral